UUUUACUAAGUUGCUUAUAUUUCUUGUUCAUGUUUUACUAAAUUGCUUUCAUUUUAUAACACGUUAUCAGCACGAAGCUCUACUAUCUCAAGAAGAUCUUUGAGAAGAUUAAGGUAAUUUUUCUCCGCUCUUUUUUUUUUUAAUUAUGUCUGACAUUAUGAAAAGAAAGUUCGUUGCCCUUGAAAUUUCGGGCAACAACUAUAUGA
RNAcentral lists this long non-coding RNA (206 nucleotides) under Nicotiana benthamiana. RNAcentral describes it as "long non-coding RNA (NBEN_LNC012658)". The record is from RNAcentral. Lineage: Eukaryota; Viridiplantae; Streptophyta; Magnoliopsida; Solanales; Solanaceae.